AAAGAUCGCAGCCUUCGGCAGCUCCUACAGGUUAUGUAAACCCCUGUAGGAGCUGCCGAAGGCUGCGAUCUUU
This 73-nucleotide non-coding RNA is filed under the name Pseudomonas jessenii. The record is from RNAcentral. Lineage: Bacteria; Pseudomonadati; Pseudomonadota; Gammaproteobacteria; Pseudomonadales; Pseudomonadaceae.